Molecule: ribosomal RNA, 477 nt
Filed under: uncultured bacterium
Lineage: Bacteria
Description: partial 16S ribosomal RNA
Rfam family: Bacterial small subunit ribosomal RNA
Source: RNAcentral
GACGAACGCUGGCGGCGUGCUUAACACAUGCAAGUCGAACGGUAAGGCCCUUCGGGGUACACGAGUGGCGAACGGGUGAGUAACACGUGGGUGGUCUGCCCUGCACUUCGGGAUAAGCCUGGGAAGCUGGGUCUAAUACCGGAUAGGACCACUGCCUGCAUGGGUGGUGGUGGAAAGCUUUUGCGGUGUGGGAUGGGCCCGCGGCCUAACUGCUUGUUGGUGGGGUGAUGGCCUACCAAGGCGACGACGGGUAGCCGGCCUGAGAGGGUGACCGGCCACACUGGGACUGAGAUACGGCCCAGACUCCUACGGGAGGCAGCAGUGGGGAAUAUUGCACAAUGGGCGCAAGCCUGAUGCAGCGACGCCGCGUGAGGGAUGACGGCCUUCGGGUUGUAAACCUCUUUCAGCACCGACGAAGCGCAAGUGACGGUAGGUGCAGAAGAAGGACCGGCCAACUACGUGCAGCCGCCGCAGUAA